Molecule: long non-coding RNA, 451 nt
Organism: Adelges cooleyi (spruce gall adelgid)
Lineage: Eukaryota; Metazoa; Arthropoda; Insecta; Hemiptera; Adelgidae
Exons: 3
Source: RefSeq, a predicted model, not a curated record
UCUAAUUUGAAAUGUCUACCUUUUAAGUUUAAAAAAACAAAUCUACUACGGCCUCGGGCUUAUUGGGUGUUCUGUUUUUUGCCUUUUUAAACCAUUAUCGUGUCUAGUUUCUACUAUACAACAAACAAAAAUGUUCAACAUGUUUCCAAAGUACUCUCCACAUAAUAUACCAAUCAAAACUUUGAGCAUAAUGUAUGAACAUUUUCGAAACUUAUACGGGUUUUUCCAAGAGCAAACCUUAUGCGAUGUUACGUUGUUAUGUGAUGAUGGCGUUCAAAUUUCAGCGCAUAAAGCAAUUUUAGCAUCCGCAAGCCCUAUGCUAUUAAAAAUGUUCGAUAGUGGCUUUAAUGAAACUAAAGAAAUUACUAUGCCUAUUAAAGACAUCGAGUCUGGUAUUUUAAAGUCAAUUGUAACUUGUACAUAUACAUUUCAGAUGGAUAUCCAGGAAAAU